GCCGAACCAACAUUAAGCUGGUUACAACACUAAUGAAAAGUUAAGUGAUAUUUUGGCGAAUGAACAUAACUCCAAAACUACGUUUAUGAGUUUUUCAAAAUCAAUUGUGAUCCUGCAUAAGCUGAAAAGUAUUUAUAUGUUGAAUUCUCGCUACACUUCAGAUGAAUCCAACAUCAAAAGACUUGUGACACUUGGGUCACAAGAAGAAAUGACAAAGAAGUGUCCGUUGAAAUAAAUUUCUCUCUCAAACAGAAUUCUCUUUGCUGGAAAGUUGCCCUACUUCAUCCUCCGCCUGCGGCCAUCGUUGUUGGUAUAUCUCUCGGCAACAGCUCCCUCACUAUCAGCUUCCCCUCCCUUAGGCCAUUCUUUCCACCGAUUUAAUGCCAUUUCCCUCUACCUAUGUGCCCUAUUGCCCCUGAUUUGCCCUAAUUCUGCUCGUUGCUCAGCUCAUCCCCGUAGCCUUCGUCGCAUGCGACUCUCCCUCCCCUCCCUCCUGCAGCUUUUUCCUAUGAUUUUCUGUUCUUGCUUUAGGCCUUUUACGCGGUUAGAUGGAAUCAAUUUCCCAUUUCUUCCCUAUACCUACCUUUUUCACCCCUUCCCUUUCCCACCUACCGCAGGUGCCACUCCAGUGCUGGAGUUCACUUCCUACUUAGAUCCCCCUACUUCAACUAUUUUGUAGCUUUCGUUACACAUAUCAGCCUUGCCCUCAUCUCCACUCCCCUCCAAUGACCUGCCGACUCUAGAACUCUUCUCCCUUCCAAAUCCUUCCCCCUUUGUUUUCCUCCUUUCAAUUUCAGCCUUCAUAAACCUCGACAUUUCAAACAACUUACAUUGCCUUCCUUUUCAUCUCAACUGAGCCCAAUGGAAAACACUAGUCCCCCUAUUUCAUUUGAUCAGCAACCUGCUCCACCUCAACCACCUCAUACCCCAACUGCCCUCCCUCCCAAAAAAUCUUACGCCAACAUAGUCCAGAAUCCCUCUGCUUCACAUUUUAAUAUGAUCCACCUCGUGUAGCAAAAAAAAAAAAUCUUUCCUGAAAUAGUGAACUUCAGCUGCUGGGAACUGCUACUUUGUUCUAGGUGAGUCGGGAAUGAGGUAAUCCAAAGAAGAAACAUGCAUUCUGGCAGGAAGACUCAAGUUUGCUCUUUAGGCAGACAAAGAUCCAACACCUCACAUGGUGUAUCAGGAUCAAGAAAACCUAGUACCCUACCCCUUCUAUCUUUUGAUGAGAAUGAGACAAUACAAUCAGAGGUACCUCUAGUUUUCCCAACCAUCUCGGAUUCACAGCCUCAAAUUCCAAUUCAGCCCCAUGUUCUAGUUCAACCCCAUUUUCCACUUCAGCCCCAUGUUCCAACUCAUGAUCCACCACCUCAAACAGCCCCAAGAAAACCUUUCAAAAUACCUCAGCAAGGCAGCAAGACACAUUAGAUGAGACUACAACUAGAGGAUUUAAUGUGCAUAACCCAUCGCAUGAGCAGAGAAGCUACUCAAUAGCAUGUCCAACAACAACACCAAAAUCCUCAGGAGUUCAUUAGGUAAUUUUAUAAAUAAUCCAUUGAGUAUAUAACCUUAUAACAUUAUUACUAUGAGUUAAAAUAAUUUCAUGUAACUACAACAACAACCUAAAGCUUUCAAAAAGCAGAAAAAACCCAUUUCUUUUUCAAGUAAAUUGCUUAAGAGACAACAAGAAGAUGCUCCAGAUCAGUUCUCCCAAUUCAAGAGAAAAUAUUGUGUAGAGAGAAAUCCAUCUAUUUUAUAAUUGAUCAAGGGUUUGGCCAACUCACAUAGGCCAAAACAAACCAAAAAAAACG
Sesamum indicum (sesame) is the source of this 1811-nucleotide non-coding RNA. The record is from RefSeq and is a predicted model, not a curated record. Lineage: Eukaryota; Viridiplantae; Streptophyta; Magnoliopsida; Lamiales; Pedaliaceae.